AAAAAAGUCAGAGACAAAAUAGAGGCUGUCGUGGGUGACAUCAACAACGUUUUGUCCACAUUUGAAAAGACACCUUCAGAGAAGGAGGCUUUGCUCAAUUUUGAAGAAUCCCAGAAAGAACUCGAGGCCUCUGUUUCAAAGGCUGUGCAACUUGUCAGUCAAAACUUAAGUCCUGAAGAAUGUAUUUCAAGAUAUGAGGAAGCUUUUAAUGCCCUGGACAGUAAAG
This is a long non-coding RNA of Calypte anna (Anna's hummingbird), 226 nucleotides long. RefSeq lists it as uncharacterized. The record is from RefSeq and is a predicted model, not a curated record. Lineage: Eukaryota; Metazoa; Chordata; Aves; Apodiformes; Trochilidae. The transcript has 3 exons.